RNAcentral lists this ribosomal RNA (301 nucleotides) under uncultured bacterium. RNAcentral's name for it is "partial 16S ribosomal RNA". It matches the Rfam family "Bacterial small subunit ribosomal RNA", at positions 509 to 807 of the family's 1533-position model. The record is from RNAcentral.
CAGUCGCCGCGGGAAUACCGAGGCCUCAAGCGUUGUUCGGAUUCAUUGGGCGUAAAGGGUGCGUAGGUGGCUUGGUAAGUUGAAGGUGAAAUCUCGGGGCUUAACCCCGAAACUGCCUUCAAUACUGCUAGGCUCGAGGACUGUAGAGGAGAAUGGAAUUCACGGUGUAGCAGUGAAAUGCGUAGAUAUCGUGAGGAAGACCAGUGGCGAAGGCGAUUCUCUGGGCAGUUCCUGACACUGAGGCACGAAGGCCAGGGGAGCAAACGGGAUUAGAUACCCCCGUAGUCCCUGUCUCUUAUAC